CCCGUGCUGUUCUGUUCGGCUGUUCCCAUCCAGAUCGAGCCAUCCUCACUCCGCCGGCUCCACGAUUGGCCUGGCCGCUCCGGCGCCCGCCUCCCUCCUCCACUGACUUCCCCGGCCCCGGUGGCCCUUGCUCCCCAGUCCUCUCGUUCCCCAUAAAGCCGUCCUCACUCUCUCACGCCCCCCGCCCGCGGCUGCGCUUGACUCCAAACUCGGCGACCUCCGAGCACGAGCAGUCUCGCCGUCAUUGUCCACUGCCGCCGGCGAGCUCCGGCCGGUGACGUCCUGAGGGCCUGAACGCGACAGAAUUUGAAGUACAACUUUCUGCUUCUUUAUUCUGCGCUCUUGAAUGCUUGGCAUCUGCGGUGCCUGCACGGACUUGCAUUUAAGACCUACAAUUUGAUGAGAAGAAGAUUGGCAGAACAUUUAUCUUACAUUCCCAGAUCUCUUUCCUUGAUACAACUCAAGGAAAUGUCCUCAUUUUCUGCUGGUCAUGGACGCCGGCCGAAGAAGAAGCUUUACCACCGUGAGCCUGACCUUGACAAGGCCAUGGACCUCCAAAAGAAGCCCGCUCUCCUCCUUCGUCUCCGUGAGCUCAUCUUGGCCCAAAAGAAAGGAUCACUACUUGUACGUGACCUUGAAAAGGAGGUUGGUUUUGUCCAAAAAUGGAACUUUGUUUCACUUAUCGAGCGCCAUCCCAAUAUCUUCUGUGUCUCUGGUGGAAGUACAUCGCGUGAGCCCAUUGCUGUCACGCUUACUGAGAAGGCCAGAAAUAUUUCUGGUGAAGAGAUCCAGGCACAGGAGCUAAUGGAACCUAUCUUGGUAAGAAAUCUGAGGAAGCUGUUAAUGAUGUCGAUGGACUGCCAAAUCCCUUUAGAGAAGAUUGAGCUCAUCCAACUUGAAUUGGGUUUACCAAAGAACUUCAAGGACAAGUUGAUUCCUAGUUACCCUGAUUUUUUCUCAAUCCGUGAUGUGAGAGGCUUGGACCAUCUGUGUUUGGAGAGUUGGGAUUCUUCACUAGCAGUCACAGCACGAGAAGAAACAUUGAAUUUUGAUGGUUUCCAAAUGGAUUAUAGAGGGGUUCCUAAAGAUGGGAAUAUACUGGGUCCUUUUGCUUUCAAGUUAAAGUAUCCAGCAGGAUUUAGGCCCAACCGCAAGUACAAUGAGGAGGUAGUCAGGUGGCAGAAGAUGGCAUUUCCUUCACCUUAUUUGAAUGCUAGGAGAGUGGAGCCUGCAACUCCACAGGCUCGAAAGCGAUCUGUUGCUGUUCUACAUGAGAUCUUAAGCUUGACAAUGCAGAAACGACUGACAUCUGAUAAGCUAGAAGUCUUCCAUAAUGAGUACAGGCUGCCAUGCAAGUUACUUCUUUGCUUAGUAAAAAAUCAUGGUAUCUUCUACAUCACUAACAAGGGAGCAAGAAGUACCGUCUUCCUCAAGGAGGCCUACGAUGAUACUAACCUCAUUGAGAAGUGUCCCCUUCUGAAAUUCCAUGAUCAGUUUUCAUCUUUAAUUGGCCGAUCAUGCUCCGACUUAAAUACUCCACUGGCAGUAUAGCUCGAGUGAUAUUGAUUUACAUGAGAAGCGAAACCAUGGUGCGUCUGGCUGGUGCAUCUUCUUUGUUGAUUGCUUGAUGUUCACAUGAGCCCACUUGCACACAACAAACCAUGCAAUUCCUCUGUACAAUGGAUGUGUCUUGUGCCUUAUUAGGUGUUGAAGAUAAAACUGUAAACAUCAACAUCACAUCUGUAAAUAUGAAGCACCCCAGGAAUCAAGUUGCAGCUCAGCUGAUGAGACAUCCAUGUUUUUACUGAGGUCACAAGUUCAGUUGGAAUGUAGGGGUUGAGGGAUUUGAGAGGAUUAAGAGCAUGAUUGGUUUGAUACCAAAAUUUGGCAUGCCAAGGUUUGGCAAAUGCCAAAUGUUGGCUAGUGAUUGGUUUGUUUCUUGUCAAGCUCACAAAAACUUGCCAAAUUUUGACAACUUUUGAUUUACCAAAUGUUGGCAUCAAACCAAUCAGCCUCUAACUCCAGUUGUGCAGCUUAUAAUGCCAAAAAAAGAAGAUUGCCCCAUUUCUGUUAAGCAAGACUAAUGCGCAUGGGCUAUAGUCCUCACCCCACGCAUCUUUGUAAUCUACAGUGGCAAUUGUUCAGCGGAUGGAAGUCACAAAGGGUCAACUAAGUGAAGAUGGCCUACCGAUCACUACAGGAUCUUUAUCCAGCAGGAACAGAAUCAAUACGCUGUGCACCAGCCAAGUAUAGAGAAAAUACAAGGAGUGCUUUGAUGGAUUGAUUAAGGGCUGUGCAAUGUCAUCCUCCGAAAGCCUGUAGGUUACGUGAUUGUGUUGGCCCUGAAUAAUGACUGACAAAAUCGGGGAACAUGGCUUACUGUUGAUCUUGGACCUUGAUUCUACUCUAGGCAUGCAAAGCUGUAUCAGUUUGUUGUGCCAAUCAAUACAAUACCUCCAACAGGCUAUUCAUGGGCAGGUUUAAAUCCCUUUCAGACCUUCUUGAGUAUGUUCUGAUAUUCCUGCAUUGAAGUGGUUGUCAACAUGAUGUCUUAGUGGGAGAUGCAUAUGUUAACUCCAACGCUAAAAAUAGCUCUCAGUGGGAUCCAAUCAGAUGAUCAUAUGCUAGGUAAAGAAGGACCGACACAAUUAUGCAUGGUGUGGACACAUGGAGCCAGGUGCGAUGAGGCCAACUAACUGGCUGCUGCUCAAUUAUAACCCCUGAAAGUUAAGAGCAUGAACAGGAGCAGUGAUUGGGACCAGAUUCUGCAGACACUAGCCUAUUAUAUGUGGUCACGAGCCUGGUCAGAUGCACCGAGAACUAGAUUUGGAUGGUUGAUAGCCUAGGAUGGAGACUGGAGGCCCACCCCUUCCUGAUCCUGUUUGUUUUUCUUCUCCUGGUAAGGGUGAAGACGUACAGAUUAUUCUAGCCCAAUUCCCCAGAAACGACGAUUUUAUUCCAUGUCAAUGAGACUGAGCACCAGCAUGUGGAGGGGGGAAUGAAUCAUUCCACGGUUAGCUCAUCACAAGCUGGGUCAAUCAAUCAAUUUAGGUCGGCAUUUAGAUAGCUUCUGGGCUGUGGCCACAUUGCAAUCAUCGUACACACGCCUAUCUUAUGGGUUGGGCUCGGUGGCUCCUUUCUUCAACUCUAGGGCAUAUUUCUUGGAUCUUCUUCUUUUUUUCCUUAUCAACUCCAGGGUAUGAAAUUAGCAUGUUGUACCAUCCACCCAUGGAUCGAUGAUGGGACUCGAUGGGAGACGCUAGCUAAACGAAACAAAGCUCAUUCCUGGUGAGGUAACAUGGCGUGCGUGCCAUCUGCUUGCACUGUCACAUGUUACAGAGGAUGAGCAUAGUCCAUGCCAACUUUUUGUUCAAUCUGAAACAGCUCUUCUUGUCGUUCUGGGCGCCUGAUAAUGCUGUCUCCAUUUGCCGACCCAUGUACAGUGACUUGUGCAAGCUGCAUUGCCUCCCUUGUCCUGUGCUGGUCGACGAAAGCCACACCUGCUGCUGCUCUCUCUCCUGCAUCUUUCUGCCAAGAAAUGUUUCCCGGAGCUAUUCGCUGUUUGUUGCCAUGCGUUUGGCCCCUCUGUUAUCUUUCCGUCUAACAUUCUUUUUAUGCGGACGGUCCUGUUUCCAGCGUCUGUUCAGUUCUGUAUUGUGCAAAAUUACUGGCCACUAGCAGCACUAUCGGUCGACGUGGUAUUUAGUAGUACCUCCGGGUCAAUUUUGUGUGCCUGUUGCAGCAAUUGUGGUGCACUGACUGGUGCGGGCCGGGGCGCAAAAUGGAAACGAAAACGAAAGGGAAAGGCUCGGUCACAAGAAAGAAAGAAGGAGGCGAUGGCAUGGAGCCAUGGAGAGUUGGAGACCGAGCGCUGGUGUAUGUGUUGUGCUGACUCUGCAGCUAGCUCAUCCGCUUGGCGUGAGCGCAUGUACCUAUCUUAUCUACUGCCGGGUGGUGGAAGCGGACGCGAUGGCGAUGCAUCAUCUCGACCGCAUCUGCUGCAUGCAUUUGUUUGUCAAAGAAAGAAGUUUGUUCCCUACCCUUGGUGCUGUGAUCCAUCCGAGCUAGCCUGACGCGAACGGUAGGCGGCAUGCAUCCUGGCAUGCACCAACUGCCCCCGCUCCUUUCGGCAGCACCACCACGGCAUCGGCACAGACCAGACCUCCUUUUUGGCUUUUGCGAUGGAUGGAGGUUGCCGCCCGCCCCGGAGCACGGCCGCUGCACCGCACCGCACCGCACCAGCCCCACUCCUAGAGGCCGGCGUCCAUCCAAAGCCAAACCAAGCACACCUCCUUCCUCGGGACGCGAUGCCUUUAUCCGAUCGAUCUGGUCCGAGGUGACGCACGCGCGGCGCGGCCGGCUGGGGAUGGAUUGACACAAUGAGACGAGGAGAGGAUGCACACGCACCAACAGCGUGGGCGGGGCGUGCGGUGCGGACGGCAACGGCAACGCCGUGCCGGCCGUGUGUGGCCUACAGCCUAGUUAGGUAUAGCACAGGCAAAGCCAAAGUGGGGAGGGACGCUAUCCUCCGCAUGAGGAGGCCGGAGGAAGCAACAAUCUCGAUCGUGAGGUCUGCUGUGCUGGUUGCGUGCCCGGCUGCAACCACAUACUCCUACCUAAACUUAUCACCCGCCUGCAAUGUCAUGCGAUUUGGAUGGACCAUGCAUGCACGGCACGGGGAAGCCACCG
RNA transcript from Triticum aestivum (bread wheat), 4689 nucleotides. It is a transcript of the gene named protein WHAT'S THIS FACTOR 1 homolog, chloroplastic, with no coding region annotated. NCBI's taxonomy places the organism in Eukaryota, Viridiplantae, Streptophyta, Magnoliopsida, Poales, Poaceae. The record is from RefSeq and is a predicted model, not a curated record. The transcript is spliced from 5 exons.